CCUACGGGCGGCUGCAGUAGGGAAUAUUGCUCAAUGGGGGAAACCCUGAACCAGCAACGCCGCGUGGAGGAUGACGGUUCUCGGAUUGUAAACUCCUUUUGUUAGAGGAGAUAAUGACGGUAUCUAACGAAUAAGCACCGGCUAACUCCGUGCCAGCAGCCGCGGUAAUACGGCGGGUGCAAGCGUUACUCGGAAUUACUGGGCGUAAAGAGCGCGUAGGCGGGAUAGCAGGUCAGAUGUGGAAUCAUUGGGCUUAACCAUAGAACUGCAUUUGAAACUGUUAUUCUAGAGUAUGGGAGAGGUAGGUGGAAUUAUUGGUGUAGCGGUAAAAUGCGUAGAGAUCAAGAAGAAUACUGAUUGCGAAGGCGACCUGCUAGAACAUAACUGACGCUGAUGCGCGAAAGCGUGGGGAGCAAACAGGAUUAGAUACCCUUGUAGUC
RNAcentral lists this ribosomal RNA (440 nucleotides) under uncultured bacterium. RNAcentral's name for it is "partial 16S ribosomal RNA". It matches the Rfam family "Bacterial small subunit ribosomal RNA", at positions 338 to 795 of the family's 1533-position model. The record is from RNAcentral.